CCUACGGGUGACAGCAGUGAGGAAUAUUGGUCAAUGGACGAGCGUCUGAACCAGCCAAGUAGCGUGAAGGAUGACUGCCCUAUGGGUUGUAAACUUCUUUUGUAAAGGAAUAAAACGAGGCACGUGUGCCUUUUUGCAUGUACUUUGUGGAUAAGGAUCGGCUAACUCCGUUCCAGCAGCCGCGGUAAUACGGAGGAUCCGGACGGUAUCCGGAUUUAUUGGGUUUAAAGGGAGCGUAGAUGGGUUGUUCAGUCAGGUGUGAAAGUUUGCGGCUCAACCGUAAAAUUGCAAUUGAUACUGGCAGUCUUGAGUACAGUUGAGGUAAGCGGAAUUCGUGGUGUAGCGGUGAAAUGCUUAGAUAUCACGAAGAACCCCGAUUGCGAAGGCAGCUUACUAAACUGUGACUGACAUUGAUGCUCGAAAGUGUGGGUAUCAAACAGGAUUAGAUACCCUAGUAGUC
This 460-nucleotide ribosomal RNA is filed under the name uncultured bacterium. RNAcentral's name for it is "partial 16S ribosomal RNA". It matches the Rfam family "Bacterial small subunit ribosomal RNA", at positions 338 to 795 of the family's 1533-position model. The record is from RNAcentral.